This 35-nucleotide ribosomal RNA is filed under the name Chrysaora fulgida. Its description in RNAcentral is "partial 18S ribosomal RNA". Lineage: Eukaryota; Metazoa; Cnidaria; Scyphozoa; Semaeostomeae; Pelagiidae. The record is from RNAcentral.
UUGGUUUCGUAGGUGAACCUGCGGAAGGAUCAUUA